RNAcentral lists this long non-coding RNA (1524 nucleotides) under Ananas comosus (pineapple). RNAcentral's name for it is "long non-coding RNA (ACOM_LNC040588)". Lineage: Eukaryota; Viridiplantae; Streptophyta; Magnoliopsida; Poales; Bromeliaceae. The record is from RNAcentral.
CAAUGAUUAUAUUUUCUUAUUUAUUUAUACAUUAUGUUCAAGAAUAUUAGAUAUAUGCUAUGCCUCAAGAGGUUAUCUAUUAAACUAUAUGAAUCCUCAAUGUUUGUUUCCACGUGGCAAGUUUUUCUUCACCCUCAUUAACAUCUGACUCUUCUUCUUUCCAUCACUAAAUUUUCAAUAUGAUUUUAAGGGUCCCAUUAACUAAACUUUCAAUUAGUGUAUUUAAAUGGUCACACUACCUUCCCUCCACUAUACUUUCAAUUAAUGUAAUAGUUCCACUACCAAACUUUCAAUUAGUAUAUUUAAAUGGUCCUACUACUAUCUAUAAACCUAAAUGAAGCCACAAUACUUUUUGUCACGUGGCAUGUUACCUUUCAUUCUCAAAGCCCAAUUUCACCUCCCCGCUUCUCUAAUUACAUGUAAGGUGCAAUAUUUAAUUACAUCUAUCAUAUUAAUAUUAUAUGGGCUUUAUAACUUUAAUCCACUCCCCUUCUCCAUUAAUCUCCUACCCUUUCUCUUUUGUAACUCUUUUGUAUGUACCAUAAAAAAACUUUUUGCCACAUGACAUGUUACAUUUCAUUUUCAUAGCCCAAUUUUAAAUCAAACCACAUUCUCCUCUUCUCAACGUCCAACUCUUCACCUCCUCACUCCUCUAAUUACAUGCAAGGUGCAACAUUUAAUUACAUGCACCAUAUUAAUAUUCUAUCAAUGAGUGGGUUCUAGCUAUAUAUAUUUUUUUUAACAGUUGAAUUUAGUCAUGCAAAUUGGCUGUACUUAAUAUGGUAUAACUUCCUAUAUAUUAAUAAGCUGUAAAUGUAAAUUUUAUUAACAUUUUUAAAUUUUGCUUCUAUUAUCUACCUGCUGCAUUGCGCGGGUUUCUACACUAGUCUAUAUGAAUCUCCAAUGUUUGUUGCUACGUGACAAGUUUUUCUUCACCCUCAUUAGUAUGUGACUCUUCUUCUUUCCAUCACUAAAUUUUCAAUAUGAUUUUAACGGUCCUAUUAACUGAACUUUCAAUUAGUGCAUUUAAAUGGUUCCACUACCUUCCCUCCACUAUACUUUCAAUUAAUGUAAAUGGUUCCACUACCAAACUUUUAAUUAGUAUAUUUAAAUGGUCCUACUAAUAUCUAUGAUUCUAAUCUCUCUACCUCCAAUUAUUCAUCAUGUUCACUAAAUUUUCAAACUUCAAUUAGCGCAUUUAAAUAGUUCCACUACCUUCCGUCCACUAUACUUUCAAUUAAUGUAAAUGGUUCCAUUACCAAAUUUUCAAUUAGUAUAUUUAAAUAGUCCUACUACUAUCUACGAUCCUAACCUCUCUCUAUCUCCAAUUAUUCAUUAUGGCCUAUUUUCCUCCUUCUACCGAACUUUCAAUUCUUUAUCUCUGAUUUGUUCAUCAAUUCUCUAUCUCUCAUCUUUAGCUAUACACCAUCGCCUCCUUCCCUCGCUCCCCCUCUCUCUCUCACUAAUGUGCGCCCAAUUUCUUCUUCCGCUGCGAUCGGAGAGAUCGUCGUCGCCGUCACUAUC